Molecule: unclassified non-coding RNA, 20 nt
Filed under: Mus musculus (house mouse)
Lineage: Eukaryota; Metazoa; Chordata; Mammalia; Rodentia; Muridae
Description: oocyte_clustered_small_RNA3183
Source: RNAcentral
UUUAAGUGGGUAAACAGAGC